This is a long non-coding RNA of Gasterosteus aculeatus aculeatus (three-spined stickleback), 402 nucleotides long. The record is from Ensembl. NCBI's taxonomy places the organism in Eukaryota, Metazoa, Chordata, Actinopteri, Perciformes, Gasterosteidae.
UGAAAGCACAGGACAAACUGAGGAUGUUUCAGGGUGGGAUGCUGCAUGGAAUCAUUCUGGUAUUCUGAAUAGCACCAGACACAUUUAGAAAGAAGGACACAAGAAAAAUGAAGAUUAACCACAUCACAAUCUGCCCAGUGAGCUCCUCCAGACGGUUGUACUGUAUACAGUGCCUCGUUCAUCUGAGGGCUCGACGUUAAGCGGGCAGCAGAUGAAAGGCCGCGCUGAAGCCCAGCAGGUUUCCCUCUCCAUGGCCUCGUGUUGCCAGUCAGCUCGUAACACUCCGCGCUUCAUGCCAAGACAAAUGAAUUACGGAGAGCGAGAGCCAGGACCUCUGCUGCUGUGACCAUAAAUGGAGACGAGGAGCGCUGCGGAUGACUGAUAGAGACUGGAAUGCGCCAC